UACGUAGGGGGCGAGCGUUAUCCGGAUUUAUUGGGCGUAAAGCGCACGCAGGCGGUCCUGCAAGUGUGGGGUGACAGCUCCUGGCUUAACCAGGAGAGGACUCUACAAACUGCAGGGCUUGAGAGCGAGAGAGGGACACGGAAUUCCGGGUGGAGCAGUGAAAUGCGUAGAUAUCCGGAGGAACACCAAAGGCGAAGGCAGUGUCCUGGCUCGUUUCUGACGCUCAGGUGCGAAAGCCAGGGGAGCGAACGGG
This 253-nucleotide ribosomal RNA is filed under the name uncultured bacterium. Its description in RNAcentral is "partial 16S ribosomal RNA". It matches the Rfam family "Bacterial small subunit ribosomal RNA", at positions 524 to 776 of the family's 1533-position model. The record is from RNAcentral.